UGCGUACCUUGCAAGGUCCUCAUGCCUGUCAGACCGUUUUCACUUGACCUCGACCUCAUUUCAUGGAUCAGUGAACAAGGUUAAGUUUUCGUGGUCAAGUCCAUAUCUCAGAUACUAUAAGCAAUAGGUCUAGUAUAUUCGGUGUAUGGAAGGACUGUAAGGUGUACAUGUCCAACUGGCAGGUGUCAUCUGACCUUGACCUCAUUUUCAUGGUUCAGUGGUUAUAGUUAAGUUUUUGUGUUUUGGUCUGUUUUUCUUAUACUAUAUGCAAUAGGUCUACUAUAAUUGGUGUAUGGAAUGAUUGUAAGGUGUACA
This 315-nucleotide long non-coding RNA is filed under the name Mytilus galloprovincialis (Mediterranean mussel). The record is from RNAcentral. Lineage: Eukaryota; Metazoa; Mollusca; Bivalvia; Mytilida; Mytilidae.